Molecule: small nuclear RNA, 95 nt
Filed under: Neogale vison (American mink)
Lineage: Eukaryota; Metazoa; Chordata; Mammalia; Carnivora; Mustelidae
Source: RNAcentral
GUUCUGGCAGGACAUGACUAAAAUUGGAAUGAUACUGAGAAGCACUGCCCCUACACAAGGGUGACACACAAAUUCAUGAAGUAUUCCAUAUUUUU